Molecule: ribosomal RNA, 380 nt
Filed under: uncultured eukaryote
Lineage: Eukaryota
Description: partial 18S ribosomal RNA
Rfam family: Eukaryotic small subunit ribosomal RNA
Source: RNAcentral
CAAUAGCGUAUAUUAAAGUUGUUGCGGUUAAAAAGCUCGUAGUUGGAUUUCUGCUGAGAACGACCGGUCCGCCCUCUGGGUGUGUAUCUGGCUCUUUCUUGGCAUCUUCUUGGUGAACGUUGCUGCACUUGACUGUGUGGAGCGCUACCCAGGACUUUUACUUUGAGGAAAUUAGAGUGUUUCAAGCAGGCAUACGCCUUGAAUACAUUAGCAUGGAAUAAUAAGAUAGGACCUCGGUUCUAUUUUGUUGGUUUCUAGAGCUGAGGUAAUGAUUAAUAGGGAUAGUUGGGGGCAUUCGUAUUUAACUGUCAGAGGUGAAAUUCUUGAAUUUGUUAAAGACGGACUACUGCGAAAGCAUUUGCCAAGGAUGUUUUCAUUGA